RNAcentral lists this ribosomal RNA (433 nucleotides) under uncultured bacterium. Its description in RNAcentral is "partial 16S ribosomal RNA". It matches the Rfam family "Bacterial small subunit ribosomal RNA", at positions 29 to 507 of the family's 1533-position model. The record is from RNAcentral.
AACGAACGCUGGCGGUAUGCCUAACACAUGCAAGUCGAACGAGACCUUCGGGUCUAGUGGCGCACGGGUGCGUAACGCGUGGGAACGUUCCCUUAGGCUCGGAAUACCUCCUCGAAAGGGGUGCUAAUAUCGGAUAACGUCUUCGGACCAAAGAUUUAUCGCCUUUGGAUGGGCACGCGUUGGAUUAGCCUGUUGGUAGGGUAAAAGCCUACCACGGCGACGAUCCAUAGCUGGUUUGAGAGGCUGAUCAGCCACACUGGGACUGAGACACGGCCCAGACUCCUACGGGAAGCAGCAGUGGGGAAUAUUGGACAAUGGGCGAAAGCCUGAUCCAGCAAUGCCGCGUGAGUGAUGAAGGCCUUAGGGUUGUAAAGCUCUUUUACCCGGGAUGAUAAUGACAGUACCGGGAGAAUAAGCGCCGGCUAACUCCGUG